AAGCGGAGGAAAAGAAACUAACAAGGAUUCCCCUAGUAACGGCGAGUGAAGCGGGAAGAGCUCAAAUUUGAAAGCUGGCGUCUUCGACGUCCGCAUUGUAAUCUCGAGAAGUGUUUUCCGUGUUGGACCAUGUACAAGUUCCUUGGAACAGGACGUCAUAGAGGGUGAGAAUCCCGUACUUGACAUGGAUGCCCAAUGCUUUGUGAUACGCUCUCCACGAGUCGAGUUGUUUGGGAAUGCAGCUCAAAAUGGGUGGUAAAUUCCAUCUAAAGCUAAAUAUUGGGGAGAGACCGAUAGCGAACAAGUACCGUGAGGGAAAGAUGAAAAGCACUUUGGAAAGAGAGUUAAACAGUACGUGAAAUUGUCGAAAGGGAAGCGCUUGAAGUCAGACAUGCUGCUGAGACUCAGCCUUGGUUUUCCUUGGUGUAUUUCUCAGUUGGCAGGCCAGCAUCAGUUUUGGCUGUUGGAUAAGGGUAGGAGGAAUGUGGCAUCCUCGGAUGUGUUAUAGCCUCUUACUGGAUACAACGGCUGGGACUGAGGAACGCAGUGUGCCUUCGGGCGGGUCUUCGGACACCUUCACACUUAGGAUGCUGGCGUAAUGGCUUUAAGCGACCCGUCUUGA
This 622-nucleotide ribosomal RNA is filed under the name Golubevia pallescens. Its description in RNAcentral is "partial large subunit ribosomal RNA". It matches the Rfam family "Eukaryotic large subunit ribosomal RNA", at positions 48 to 657 of the family's 3401-position model. Lineage: Eukaryota; Fungi; Basidiomycota; Exobasidiomycetes; Golubeviales; Golubeviaceae. The record is from RNAcentral.